RNAcentral lists this long non-coding RNA (3326 nucleotides) under Panax ginseng (ginseng). RNAcentral describes it as "long non-coding RNA (PGIN_LNC008953)". Lineage: Eukaryota; Viridiplantae; Streptophyta; Magnoliopsida; Apiales; Araliaceae. The record is from RNAcentral.
UGUGCUUUAAUUUUGGUAGCAAUACUAUAGAAUAUGUGCACUGGUACUUUAUGAGUAACUAAAUAGUAAUAACCUUAUUAAGCUAAGGCUGAACUGCAUAAAAAAAAAAACCAAACAUGGUCUUAUGGAUUACUAAGGUCAUCAGUAAAGAAGGAAAGCGUGAGCUGUAUUGAGAUUAGGGGGACUUAGCUGGAUCAGCCUAUGGCAAGGAGGAGUUGUCCUUGUAUUAUAAAAAUAGACUUCUGAUUUGGUUAAGCUAUAAUGUGGGAAGUAAGGGAAUAACAUUAUAUAAAUCGAAGGCUCCCAAUAAUUCCCUGCCUUUCCUUCUCUCUCAACCAAUUUCGUUCCUUACUAAGGCAAUUACCGAUUUCCUCUCCAUCUAAUCACAAUUGAGUUACUCCAUAGGAAUCUCCAGUAUUUAUAUUCGGCGGGCACAAGAAAAUAAUUUGAAAGCUUCAUUAUAUCCUUGAGCAGCUAGGACUAAGUUGCAGAAUAGUAAGAAAUUAUAAGCAAUCAAGUGAAAGGUAUGUGAAUUAAUUCACUAAGUUUUUGUUAGCUGUGAUGUUAGUAUUGAGCAAAAUGGGUUGUUGUGAAUUAGAACAAAACAGUUGGUUUGUGCAUUCAUGUUUUGUCUGUGAACUUGACUGUUAUGGAUUGAAUUUAGACACAAGGAGAUAAGUUGGGUUCUGGAGUAAUAAGGAGAAUAAUGUGUUUAUAAUGUAAAUCAAUGGCCAUGUAAAAAGGGAUUUUUAAAACUAUGCACUCCAAGUGUUUGACAAAAGUUUAUAACGAACUGUCUUAGUCUAAAAUCCAAACUUUGGUAAAAUUAUAGCUUGGGUUUAAUUUAUGAUUUAUAUGUGAUGUUAAUUAGAUGGUUUGUGAAUGUCAAGCUAAAGCAAAGCAAUUUUUUUUUAUCAAUGAAGAGUUAGACCUUGUAUGACAUGUAACUUGGACUUUCUGUUUUGGGCAGCUUAAGAAAUUCAAUAUGAAAAAUUAAUAUAUUUUAUUAUUUGGUUGCUAUCACAUUUAUUAUCUGCUGGAGCUUGGGUGUAGUAAAAAAAAAGAAAUAGCAUGUGUUGUUAAGGAAUUGUAGCAAGCAAAAGAUGGGGCUGGAGGGGUUUGGGCUGGCUGGGGCUGCUGCAGGCAGCAGCAGCUAGCGCCCAGCGCUGUGUUGUGUUGUGCUGCAGAGCCAGUCAGCUAGUCUGACACCAAUUUGAUUUGUGUACCAUAUGCAAUGACUGUAAUUUGCAAGAUAGUUUAAAAGGUAGGUGCACUAUUUUACCUUUCUAAUAAGGAUUGUAAAUAACUUGCCAGUAGGAAGCCAAGAAUCAUAAGUUAAGAAUAGGGCUGUUGCCCAUGGUGUCAGCCAUGACUGGUUAUGGCAUCAAAUGUGGCCUUCCUUAGACUCUCAUUUAGUGCAGGUGAAUUCCCUAAACUAGCCCAGCUGAUAUUGCUCUGUAUUAAGGAUAGAUUCCAGUUGUGUAAUAUUCAAGAUAUAGUGUGAGAGAGUGACAUAGUAAGGGAGGUAAGUAGCAGCGGUAGCAGCAGUGGUUAGCAUCAAUGCAGUCUUAAGUAGAGAAUAUUAAUGGGAUAGCAUGGUAUAAGACAAGGCUAAUCAAAUUGAAAAAUAUUGCAAGGAUAAUGGGCUGCUAGGCUCGGUUAGGGGCUGCAUGGCCACAUUAAGCCUAGUUAAGCCCCACGGGGCCAAACAAAAGCUUGAUUGCCACACGGUGGGUCAAGUUGGAGCGGUUUUGGGCAUUUUAAUAGUAAACAAGAAUGUUUAGCAUCUUAGUAUAAAAACAUUGAAACUACAAAUGAUUAGAACUAUAAAUUAUUCAAUCAAGUUUUAGUCACACCUAAAACAUGUAAUUUAUUAUAAAACAAUGGUUGUUAUGAUUAGACUUUUAAAGUUACUAAGCCAAGUUUAGGCUUUUAGCAUCACAAAGAAUUGCUAAACACCGCGACGGAACUAACUUGACAUAGCUUGAAAAAGAAAUAUGAACUAAAAUUAUAGAAGAAUCUUGAGCAAAAGGUUAUGUCAGACCCUAUAAAAGAAAGAAAUGAUUGUUAUAAGAACAUGGAUGAGAUAUUUGAAAAAUGUAUAAAAAUAUUUUAAAUAUAGAAUAUAAAUUAAAAACACGAUCACUGUGGCUAUGUGAUAUGUGUAUAUGCAAGUUACAUGACUCGAAUACUUGGCUAAUGUAUUUGUAAAUGGAAAUAUAAUUGUGUAGGAUUUGUGGGAACAAGUUAAGCUGAAUUUUUAUAUUCAUAGUUCACAAACAAGGAAAGUAUCUAAAUCUUACUCUUUAUUAAGCAAGUAUUUUGAGAUUAUUCAUAUGUUGACAGGUUCUCUAAUUUCUGAACUGUCUUUCAUUAUUUAUGAAUAUUGUAAGAUUGAAUAAUAUUUUUAUUCCAAUUAGCUUCAAAAGAUUGGGUAAGCUAUUAUCUUAUGCAUGAGCAGGUUGCAAAGAAGUCUGAGCCAUUCCUUCUGGCCAGACACAGCUGUGAAAUAUUUUAAUUUCUUUAUAUUAAGUCUUGAAAUAUUAUUGUGCCGUGAUUUAAGCUGUCCAGCUAUAUUGUUGUAGUUGGAAUCUAAAACUGAGAAUGAACAUACCCUUAAAUGGGAUAUUUUUAUUGCACUCUGGGAGUGGUGAUGUAGAACAUGAAAAUUGUUCUGGAAAAGAUAGUAUUGAUCAAUACAGGGCAUAAAGGGCUGAUCACCCUACGUGCUCGUAAGUUCAGACGGUUCAUCUGAUAAUAUUUCUGAUUGAACCUUUUUAAAAAAAGAAAAAUAUGUUCAUGGUCUUAAAACCUCUUAGUUAUUCAAUGUUGUUAUGAUAUUACAAAAAUGUGAAGGAUUCAAGAUUUAUUGCUUUACAGUUUUGAUUCACUGUCAAAGCAUGCUUCAAAGAAAACAUUUAUUUCUUGUUAAGCUUUAAAGAAUGCUAUUAUUUCUGAGCAAUUAAAUGCUUAUACUUGUCUUAUUAAAUGUUUUCAGCUGAGCAGACUCGGGCAGAAGGGUCUGGAAAAGACAAGGGAAAAGGAAAGAUGGGAGAAUAGUUGAAGAUUGCUGUAAUAGAUAGUCUUCAUGUUUGUAAAUAUUAAACUACCAUGUAAUAAAUGCUUAAAGGUUUACGUACCUGGGAUUAGAAGAACUUUGAUGUAAUAACUUUAUUAAGUUUAUGUUUAUUAUAUUCUGGAAGUUUUAUAUCGUGAGCACUGAAUAAGGGUUUCAAGUACCCGAAUUUGGGGGCGUCACAAAUUAAAUGUCGCUAAAGGGGCCCUAUAGCGACAUAACCGUCGCUAAAGGUGUUCUUGGUGUUCAU